Molecule: ribosomal RNA, 995 nt
Filed under: Cellulophaga lytica
Lineage: Bacteria; Pseudomonadati; Bacteroidota; Flavobacteriia; Flavobacteriales; Flavobacteriaceae
Description: bacterial SSU rRNA
Rfam family: Bacterial small subunit ribosomal RNA
Source: RNAcentral
ACGGCGGCUUAACACAUGCAAGUCGAGGGGUAACAGAGGAGCUUGCUCUUGCUGACGACCGGCGCACGGGUGCGUAACGCGUAUACAAUCUGCCUUACACUAAGGGAUAGCCCAGAGAAAUUUGGAUUAACACCUUAUAGUUUAUUUUUAUGGCAUCAUUUAAAUAAUAAAGUUUACGGUGUAAGAUGAGUAUGCGUCCCAUUAGUUUGUUGGUAAGGUAACGGCUUACCAAGACUACGAUGGGUAGGGGCCCUGAGAGGGGGAUCCCCCACACUGGUACUGAGACACGGACCAGACUCCUACGGGAGGCAGCAGUGAGGAAUAUUGGACAAUGGAGGAGACUCUGAUCCAGCCAUGCCGCGUGCAGGAAGACGGUCCUAUGGAUUGUAAACUGCUUUUAUACAGGAAGAAUAAGGACUACGUGUAGUCUGGUGACGGUACUGUAAGAAUAAGGACCGGCUAACUCCGUGCCAGCAGCCGCGGUAAUACGGAGGGUCCGAGCGUUAUCCGGAAUUAUUGGGUUUAAAGGGUCCGUAGGCGGGCUGUUAAGUCAGGGGUGAAAGUUUGCAGCUCAACUGUAGAAUUGCCUUUGAUACUGAUGGUCUUGAAUUAUUGUGAAGUGGUUAGAAUAUGUAGUGUAGCGGUGAAAUGCAUAGAUAUUACAUAGAAUACCGAUUGCGAAGGCAGAUCACUAACAAUUGAUUGACGCUGAUGGACGAAAGCGUGGGUAGCGAACAGGAUUAGAUACCCUGGUAGUCCACGCCGUAAACGAUGGAUACUAGCUGUUUGGAUUUCGAUCUGAGCGGCCAAGCGAAAGUGAUAAGUAUCCCACCUGGGGAGUACGUUCGCAAGAAUGAAACUCAAAGGAAUUGACGGGGGCCCGCACAAGCGGUGGAGCAUGUGGUUUAAUUCGAUGAUACGCGAGGAACCUUACCAGGGCUUAAAUGUAGAUUGACAGGUUUAGAGAUAGACUUUCCUUCGGGCAAUUUACACGG